UCCUGGUUAGUUCAGUUGGUAGAGCGCUCCACUGAAAGUGGAGACGUUCCUGGUUCGAUACCAGGAACAGGCG
This is a non-coding RNA of Ixodes scapularis (black-legged tick), 73 nucleotides long. Lineage: Eukaryota; Metazoa; Arthropoda; Arachnida; Ixodida; Ixodidae. The record is from Rfam.